This 11411-nucleotide long non-coding RNA is filed under the name Citrus maxima (pomelo). RNAcentral describes it as "long non-coding RNA (CMAX_LNC003662)". The record is from RNAcentral. Lineage: Eukaryota; Viridiplantae; Streptophyta; Magnoliopsida; Sapindales; Rutaceae.
UAACCCCACGCUCCUAUGAAUUAAGAGAGAGAGAAACGGAGAGAGAGAAAUAAAGAGGGAAAGAGAUGUUCGCGAUCCGACCCGAACCUUCGCGAUCGGACCCGAAUUUAUCUCCAUUUUCCAGCCACCUUACCGACCAAGGAAGGUACCAAUAGAAAGCUUGAGAACUGGCCGUCAUUUCCAUUCCGUCAUUGCCGUCGAUUAUUGGCCGGAAAGCCGUUUAUUGAAGCCGCAAAAUUUGGCGGUGAAGCCGCAUUGUUUCGCCGCUGUUCCGCUAGUUUUGGGUGAGGCGACCAGUUGGAUUUUGUUCCCCACAAUCCCCUCUGUCCUUUCCGACCAUCCACUGAGCCGGGAACUGCCCUGUCCCGGCCGGUCAGCCGUUGGAAAGUUCAUGGCUUUGGGAGCUCGAUCAGCCACCGUCGCCGCGCGUCGAUCGUCACCGCCGCCACCAUCGGACUCAGCGUGGUUGGAACUCUCAGGCUAGAGCUUCCCGACGGCCUUUGGUUGACUUUCGGUCAUCGUUGACCAGUAAGGCCAUUUCGGUAAUUUCGUAUCCGAGGGCAAUUUUAUAGUUUCACACUUUGCGGGUAUUUUAGUAAUUGUAUAAAUCAAGAAUAGGCUGGUAAUUUACGAUUUUGAGAUUAACUUGGUAAAUUAUGAUUUUGGGGGUAUUCUAAUAAUGUUAGAAUUUGAGGGUAUUUUGGUAAUUUUGUUAAAUUUGAAGGCGAUUUUAUAAUUUUUGGAUUUGUGCAUAUUUUGGUAGUUUCUGAAUUGGAGAAUAAUUAGUAAUUUAUGAAAUUGAGAAUGAUUUGGUAGUUUAUAAUUUUGGAAUUUUUAGAUUAUUUAUGUGAUUUAUGAGUUUGAGGGCAUUUCGAUGAAGGUUGGGUUAUUUGAACUCAACAAACGCCUCACUAAAUCUAUUUUUGAGAUUAAUCUUUUAUGAUUAAAAUACUCUUAAAUUAAAUUACAAUUAUGGAUAUUAAAAUAUAAUAAAAAAACAGAAUUUUAAUUUUUUCAGCCCAUUUAUACAUCAACAUAAUUUUGUUAAAUCAUAAUCUUAUUUUCAUUAAAUCCUAAUUAACUAGAGGCAUGAAUUACGAGUGGCAAUCUUUUACUUUCAAUUAUCUUCCUACGGUUUGAUGCGCAUUCAAAUGGAGCUCAUCAUCGAUCAUUGAGUCAUGUGCUCUGAUUAUAAUAUUAAUCCUUAAAUUUUCUGAAAACUUUAAUUAUCAUUAAUCAAAAGCAAAUUGUAUUUUAAUUAACGGGUUAAAUUUCUUUUCUUUUCAAUUUGGCCAUUUAGUGGAGCCGAAUUAAGCUAAGCCGCAUCACCAUUCACCAAUGGUAGCUCAGCCUCUCCGCUAACAAUAGGCAUGGCUGAUUCUCAAUUAUCUGAUUAUCAUCACAAGCUCAAGUAGCACCUACGCUAACAAAUUCAUUUUGAUUUAAUUACCAUCUCCAUCGGUGUUAAAAAAAAUAAAUGAUUUCAAUGAAGAUUUAUAAAUGAAGUUAAUGGAUUUAGCGAGUUAAAAUAUUAUUAUUAUAAAAAUUGAGUUUAGUGAGUGUAUAUUAAGUAUUUAUCCGUACUAAUAUUUUAGCAUCCUAAUGAUUUCAAUUUAUCCAAUAAAUAUACAAUUGAAUCAUCUUAUAAAAUAAGUAUCUAAUCCUACUUUGAAGUAUUAAAAAAAGAAAAAAAAAGUUGAAUUGAAGACAUAUUUGAAAAUAAAAUAAAUUUUAUUAUUUAAUAAAAUUAUAAAAAUGCAAGGGGUAUAUCCAAAAGUUUCCGGGGUCUAGCCCAGGCUUGCUGUCUUAAGCAAAAAUUCGAAUCAAAUCAAAAUUAAAUUCUUUUUCUCCUCUCAUUUUUUAGAUGGGUUUCUUUGAUAGCCAAUCGAGAUCAAAAAAAGAAAUGGCAAAGGGAGAAUGAAUACAAGUAAAAAAAAAAAAAAAGAAGAAUAAGAAUAAUAAUUUAAGUGACUAGAUUUUUUCUUUCCUUGAAAUAUUGUCAUGUCGAUAAUUUUCUCUGCUAUAAUUUAUUAAUAAAAUUUAAUCGACAUAUGCGUGAAGAAGAAGUGCAAUUUUUCAUGAGAGAUUGAAAAGUGACUAACAUGAAGUUAACUUUUUUCUUCAGUUAGUAAUUUCAGUUAGUUUUAAAAACGUUAUGUUUUUUACAUCUAAAUAAAAUAUAGAUAGGAGGACAGGGGUAGAAACUCUUACAUCAAGUGAGAAUAAGUUUUUAUGUACUAUAUAUAUAUAUAUAAGAGGAGAUUAUGGUGAUAGGUAAGAUUAAAUUUAUUAACAAAAAUUUAAAAACAUCUUAUUAAUAUAAAAUUAUAAAAAAAUAAAUAAAUACUCACCUUAGAAUUUCUUAAAUACCAUGUUUCAAAAUCUCUUAUAAAGUUUAGGAAAAAAAAAUUGAAGUUGAAAAUUUACAAAUCAUUUUCCUAAUUUGAGAAGAUAUAUAAGUUUAGUGAAACUUAAUAAGUCUUUUCCUUCUUCCUUUUCCUUAACUAGUCAGGCUUUCAUUUUCCUUGACUAGUUAGGAUAUACAUCCUUAUAUAAAGAUGCUUACAUUGAGCUCCCAAAUCCCAACUUCGCAAUAGAGUUAAUAAAUUAGAAGGUAUCGAGUUCUUGGUUUUCAGUUUUUUCUUGAAUCGUCGAUCAAAAAACUUGAUUAGCUAUGAAGCAGAAGGCAAUUGACUCCGAAGAAGGAUGGGACUAUUUGGAUCGGGGAAUCACAAAAUUGAAGAGGAUUUUCGAAGGAUUGCCGGAGCCAACGUUUAAUUUGGAGGAUUACAUGAUGCUUUACACAACCGUAUACAAUAUUUAUUCUGAGUCGACUUAUCCUCUUGACAAAAAUAGCAAACAGUUGUAUAACAAUUACAAGCAAAUACUUGAAGAUUAUAUGCCAUCAAAGGUAUUGCCAUCUUUGAGAGAGAAGCACGAUGAGUAUGAUUUGUUGAAGGAGCUUUUGAAAAGCUGGGCUAAUCAUAAAUUUUUGGUUAAAUGGCUUUCACUCGUCUUCCUUCCUCUUCAAGUUGAAUUCGCUUAUAUUACUCGAAAGAAACUUCCUAAACUUAAUGCGUUUGGACUUUCUUGCUUCCGGGAUCUGGUGUUUGAUGCUAUAAAGGACAAAGUCAAGGAUGCUGUAAUUGCUUUAAUCGAUAGAGAACGCGAGGGAGAAGAGAUUGACAGAACGUUGGUGAAGAAUGUAUUGAAUUUAUUCGUUGAGAUUGACGAGGGGAAGAUGCAUUGUUACGAAAAGGAUUUUGAAGAACAUAUGCUUCAGGAUACGGGGGCUUAUUAUUCUCGCAAGGCAUCAAAUUGGAUUCUUCAGGAUUCGAGUGAAGAUUACAUGCUCAAGGUUGGUGAAUGCUUGAAGAAAGAAAGAGGGAGAGCGUCUCAUUACCUGCAACCAAGCAGCGAGCGGAAAUUGACGGACAUACUAGAACAUGAGUUGUUGGUGGUGCGUGCAAGUCAGCUUCUUGAAGAAGGAGAAUUUGGAUGCAGACAAUUGCCUAGAGGAGAUAAGGUGGAUGAUCAUUCGAUUAUCUGCUGUGACAGCGAGAAAUCGAGGAAUGAAUUAGGCAUUGGAGAAACAUUGGAGUAGGUUCUUAGAUUGUGAUGCACACCAAGAAACCCUAAAGUUCCUAGUCAAUUUCAAGUCUAUUAAUUUUAUAAUUUCUAUUCCAUUGGAUUUUUUUUUUUUCCUUGAGCACUAAUUAAUUGGCAUUGCUGCCUUAGAUAUCGUGAUGAGUAAGCAUGCCGAUGAAUAUGUUUUAUACAUUAAUUAAAAAUUUUAGACAACCCCAUAGAUAAAGAUAGACCUAAGAACUAAUUAUGAACAAAAUAGUAAUGGGUAUAAAUUGCCUUCUCAAUAAUUAUUCGUUGCAUUGUGGUUCAUACGAAAGAAUAUGAAUAAGUUAUCAUUAUUUGUUCUUCUUUUCCUUUCUAAUUUUUUUUUUAGCGACUUCUUCAAUCCUUUCUCUCCCUAUCCCCAAUUAUUUUGAGAUUUCUCUUCACCAUUCGUUAAUUUUCCUUUUCAAUAAAUUUUGAAUGUAUUUCAUGAAUCCAAUUUGGUAAGCCAAUGUGUAUAACAAAAUCUCUCACCCCACCAACCAACCAUUUUUCUUAUUUUUCUUUCUUCAUAUAAAGUUCUUGUCUAAGAAUAGAGAAUUCACUUCCAGAUCACAAGUAUAUGGGCUUGGAAGUUGUUUUCCAGCUAAAACUUUUGGGCCAACAAUCAAGGCCUAUCAAGCAAACAACUUUUGUCCUCCUGCACUUACCUCGUUUCGUUGAUAAAGAAAAUCCCUUAAGUUGAUGAAUUUGUGCUUCGUAAUCCUAAUUGUUUGAAUUCCGUCAAGCAAUGCAACAGAACACAAAAUGUCCUUUUCACCCUUAGGAUUUAAUAUAAUACAUAUUUCAUCCCUAUAUUUUAAAUAAUAGUGUAAAGUAUUCUUUCAUUAAUUUGCCAUUAGUUUAUUAUAUUUUUUUUGCAAGCUCCAUUAGCAUACUUGGUAGUUUGCAUACAAUUUUUGACAAUUUAAUUUUUUAAAAUUAAAAAUUAAUAUAAUUUUUUUAUAUUUAGGGCUAAAUUAGUAAUUUAAUUAUUUUCUUUUUAUUAAUGUCCAAGUAAAAAAAUAAUUAUAAAUGGGCAAUAUUGUUAAAGUAAGACAAAAGAAAUAAAAAGUAACAAUAUGAAUAUCAAUACUUUAACGGCAGAGAUUUAAAAAAAUACAAGGACUAAAUAAAUAUUAAUCUUAAAAUAUAGAGACUAAAUGAUCUUUUAUCCUUUACACAACCGUAUACAAUAUUUGUUCCCAGCCGGAUCGUCUUCUUGAUGAAGAUCCCAAACAGCUGUAUGACAAGUAAAAGCAAGUACUUGAAGAUUAUAUGCCAUGAAAGGCAUUGCCAUCUUUGAGAGAGAAGCACGAUGAGUAUCAUUUGUUGAGGGAGCUUUUGAAAAGCUGGGCUAAUAAUGAAAUUUUGGUUAAAUGGCUUUCACGCGUCUUCCUUCCUCUUCAGGUAGGUUAUAUUCCUCGAAGGAAACUUCCUAAACUUAAUGCGAUUUUAAAGGAAAUAAAUGAUGAAAUUAUGAAAAUAUUGUUAAUUGUUAUUAUAUCAUUGAGUAAUAAUAAGAAUCUUAAUAUUAAAGUUUUAAUUUGCGUUCUAAAGUUCAUUUUAAAUUAGUUUAGGAGGUUUAAAAGUGAUUUUAAAAAUUUAAAAAUUAAUUUUAAUAUUUCAUAAAAAAAUUAAAAUUAUUUUUUAUCAAAAUCAGUCCAUAUGAUUUUAAAUUUAAAUUUAAAUUUAGAGAAUUAAUUUUAUAUUUUAAUACAAUUUUAAUUUUAUCCUCUACCAUUAUACUUUGAGUAAUGAUACAACCACAAACUCUUGUACAAAUUUAUUUUAUACAAACUGAUGUGGCAUGAUAAGAUUGAUUGAAUUAAAAAUCACUUGGCCCACAUGAUUUGUUUUUAUUAUUUUAUAUUUUCAUUCAACCAAUGAAUUAAUGACACGUCAGUUUAUACAAAAUAAAUUUAUAUAAAAAUUUAUAGCUGUAUCAUUACUCUUAUACUUUAGUUAAAAUAAUGUGUUUCGUAUUGCACCCAAUGACAAUGUCAUUAUUGUUGACAUACUCUUUUUUUUUUAAAUAGACCAAACCAUUUUUUUUUUUUUCUGUGUAUUACCCCACGCCCCUAUGAAUUAAGAGAGAGAGAAACGAAGAGAGAGAAAGAAAGAGGGAAAGAGAUGGGAGCGAUCCGACCCGAACCUUCGCGAUCGGACCCGAAUUUAUCUCCAUUUUCCAGCCACCUUACCGACCAAGGAAGGUACCAAUAGAAAGCUUGAGAACUGGCCGUCAUUUCCAUUACGUCAUCGCCGUCGAUUAUUGGCCGGAAAGCCGUUUAUUGAAGCCGCAAAAUUUUGCGGUGAAGCCGCAUUGUUUCGCCGCUGUUCCGCCAGUUUUGGGUGAGGCGACCAGUUGGAUUUUGUUCCCCACAAUCCCCUCUGUCCUUUCCGACCAUCCACUGAGCCGGGAACUGCCCUGUCCCGGCCGGUCAGCCGUUGGAAAGUUCAUGGCUUUGGGAGCUCGAUCAGCCACCGUCGCCGCGCGUCGAUCGUCACCGCCGCCACCAUCGGACUCAGCGUGGUUGGAACUCUCAGGCUAGAGCUUCCCGACCGCAUUUGGUUGGCUUUCGGUCACCUUUGACCAGCAAGGCCAUUUCGGUAAUUUCGUAUCCGAGGGCAAUUUUAUAAUUUCAUACUUUGCGGGUAUUUUAGUAAUUGUAUAAAUUGAGAAUAGGCUGGUAAUUUACGAUUUUGAGAUUAACUUGGUAAAUUAUGAUUUUGGGGGUAUUCUAAUAAUGUUAGAAUUUGAGGGUAUUUUGGUAAUUUUGUUAAAUUUGAGGCGAUUUUAUAAUUUUUGAAUUUGUGCAUAUUUUGGUAGUUUCUGAAUUGGAGAAUAAUUAGUAAUUUAUGAAAUUGAGAAUGAUUUGGUAGUUUAUAAUUUUGGAAUUUUUAGAUUAUUUAUGUGAUUUAUGAGUUUGUGGGCAUUUCGAUGAAGGUUGUGUUAUUUGAACUCAACAAACGGCUCACUAAAUUUAUUUUUGAGAUUAAUUUUUUAUAAUUAAAAUAUUUUUAAAUUAAAUUACAAUUAUGGAUAUUAAAAUAUAAUAUAAAAAAACAGAAUUUUAAUUUUUUCAGCCCAUCUAUACAUCAACAUAAUUUUGUUAAAUCAUAAUCUUAUUUUCAUUAAAUCCUAAUUAACUAGAGGCAUGAAUUACGAGUGGCAAUCUUUUACUUUCAAUUAUCUUCCUACGGUUUGAUGCGCAUUCAAAUGGAGCUCAUCAUCGAUCAUUGAGUCAUGUGCUCUGAUUAUAAUAUUAAUCCUUAAAUUUUCUGAAAACUUUAAUUAUCAUUAAUCAAAAGCAAAUUUGAUUUUAAACAACGGGUUAAAUUUCUUUUCUUUUCAAUUUGGCCAUUUAGUGGAGCCGAAUUAAGCUAAGCCGCAUCACCAUUCACCAAUGGUAGCUCAGCCUCUCCGCUAACAAUAGGCAUGGCUGAUUCUCAAUUAUCUGAUUAUCAUCACAAGCUCAAGUAGCACCUACGCUAACAAAUUCAUUUUGAUUUAAUUACCAUCUCCAUCGGUGUUAAAAAAAAUAACUGAUUUCAUUGAAGAUUUAUAAAUGAAUUUAAUGGAUUUAGCGAGUAAAAAUAUUAUUAUUAUAAAAAUUGAGUUUAGUAAGUGUAUAUUAAAUAUUUAUCCGUACUAAUAUUUUAGCAUCCUAAUGAUUUCAAUUUAUCCAAUAAAUAUACAAUUGAAUCAUCUUAUAAAAUAAGUAUCUAAUCCUACUUUGAAGUAUUAAAAAAAGAAAAAAAAAGUUGAAUUGAGGACAUAUUUUAAAAUAAAAUAAAAUUUAUUAUUUAAUAAAAUUUUAAAAAUGCAAGGGGUAUAUCCAAAAGUUUCCGGGGUCUAGCCCAGGCUUGCUGUCUUAAGCAAAAAUUCGAAUCAAAUCAAAAUUAAAUUCUUUUUCUCCUCUCAUUUUAUAGCUAAAUUUCGAUAAUUGGAAAACUAGACUAACGACACAAAGUCUUGAAAACAAAAUGGUUUGAUGGGUUUCUUUGAUAGCCAAUCGAGAUCAAAAAAGAAAUGGCAAAGGGAGAAUGAAUACAAGUAAAAAAAAAAAAGAAGAAUAAGAAUAAUAAUUUAAGUGACUAGAUUUUUUCUUUCCUUGAAAUAUUGUCAUGUCGAUAAUUUUCUCUGCUAUAAUUUAUUAAUAAAAUUUAAUCGACAUAUGCGUGAAGAAGAAGUGCAGUUUUUCAUGAGAGAUUGAAAAGUGACUAACAUGAAGUUAACUUUUUUCUUCAGUUAGUAAUUUCAGUUAGUUUUAAAAACGUUAUGUUUUUGACAUCUAAAUAAAAUAUAGAUAGGAGGACAGGAGUAGAAACUCUUACAUCAAGUGAGAAUAAGUUUUUAUGUACUAUAUAUAUAUAAGAGAGAUUAUGGUGAUAGGUAAGAUUAAAUUUAUUAACAAAAAUUUAAAAACAUCUUAUUAAUAUAAAAUUAUAAAAAAAUUAAAUACUCACCUUAGAAUUUCUUAAAUACCAUGUUUCAAAAUCUCUUACAAAGUUAAGAAAAAAAAAAUUGAAGUUGAAAAUUUACAAAUCUUUUUCCUAAUUUGAGAAGAUAUAUAAGUUUAGUGAAACUUAAUAAGUCUUUUCCUUGACUAAUUAGGCUUUCCUUUUCCUUAACUAGUUAGGAUAUACAUCCUUAUAUAAAGACGCUUACAUUAAGCUCUCAAAUCCCAACUUCGCAAUAGAGUUAAUAAAUUGGAAGGAAUCGAGUUCUUGGUUUUCAGUUUUUUCUUGAAUCGUCGAUCGAAAAACUUGAUUAGCAAUGAAGCGCAAGGCAUGUGACUCCGAAGAAGGAUGGGACUAUUUGGAGCGGGGAAUCACAAAAUUGAAGAGGAUUUUCGAAGGAUUGCCAGAGCCAGCGUUUAAUUUGGAGGAUUACAUGAUGCUUUACACAACCGUAUACAAUAUUAACUCCCAGCGGACUUAUCCUCUUGACAAAAAUAGCAAACAAUUGUAUAACAAUUACAAGCAAGUACUUGAAGAUUAUAUGCCAUCAAAGGUAUUGCCAUCUUUGAGAGAGAAGCACGAUGAGUAUGAUUUGUUGAGGGAGCUUUUGAAAAGCUGGGCUAAUCAUAAAUUUUUGGUUAAAUGGCUUUCACUCGUCUUCCUUCCUCUUCAAGGUGAAGGCGCUUAUAUUACUCGAAAGAAACUUCCUAAACUUAAUGCGUUUGGACUUUCUUGCUUCCGGGAUCUGGUGUUUGAAGCUAUAAAGGACAAAGUCAAGGAUGCUGUAAUUGCUUUAAUCGAUAGAGAACGCGAGGGAGAAGAGAUUGACAGAACGUUGGUGAAGAAUGUAUUGAAUUUAUUCGUUGAGAUUGACAAGGGGAAGAUGCAUUGUUACGAAAAGGAUUUUGAAGAACAUAUGCUUCAGGAUACGGGGGCUUAUUAUUCUCGCAAGGCAUCAAAUUGGAUUCUUCAGGAUUCGAGUGAAGAUUACAUGCUCAAGGUUGGUGAAUGCUUGAAGAAAGAAAGAGGGAGAGCGUCUCAUUACCUGCAACCAAGCAGCGAGCGGAAAUUGACGGACAUACUAGAACAUGAGUUGUUGGUGGUGCGUGCAAGUCAGCUUCUUGAAGAUGGAGAAUUUGGAUGCAGACAAUUGCCUAGAGGAGAUAAGGUGGAUGAUCAUUCGAUUAUCUGCUGUGACAGCGAGAAAUCGAGGAAUGAAUUAGGCAUUGGAGAAACAUUGGAGUAGGUUCUUAGGUUGUGAUGCACACUACGAAACCCUAAAGUUCCUAGUCAAUUUCAAGUCUAUUAAUUUUAUAAUUUCUAUUCCAUUGGAUUUUUUUUUCCUGAAGCACUAAUUAAUUGGCAUUGCUGCCAUAGAUAUCGUGAUGAGUACGCGUACCGAUGAAUAUGUUUUAUACAUUAAUUAAAAAUUUUAGACAACCCUAUAGAUAAAGAUAGACCUAAGAACUAAUUAUGAACAAAAUAGUAAUGGGUAGAAAUUGUCUUCUUGACAAUUAUUCGUUGCAUUGCGGUUCAUACGAAAGAACAUGAAAAAUUAUCAUUAUUUGUUCUUCUUUUCCUUUCUAAUUUUUUUUUUUAGCGACUUCUUCAAUCCUUUCUCUCGCUAUCCCCAAUUAUUUUGAGAUUUCUCUUCACCAUUCGUUAAUUUUACUUUUCAAUAAAUUUUGAAUGUAUUUCAUGAAUCCAAUUUGGUAAGCCAAUGUGUAUAACAAAAUCUCUCACCCCACCAACCAACCAUUUUUCUUAUUUUUCUUUCUGCAUAUAAAGUUCUUGUCUAAGAAUAGAGAAUUCACUUCCCAGAUCACAAGAAUAUGGGCUUGGAAGUUAUUUACCAGCUAAAACUUUUGGGCCAACAAUCAAGGCCUAUCAAGCAAACAACUUUUGUCCUCCUGCACUUACCUCGUUUCGUUGAUAAAGAAAAUCCCUUAAGUUGAUGAAUUUGUGCUUCGUAAUCCUAAUUGUUUGAAUUCCGUCAAGCAAAGCAACAGAACAGAAAAUGUCCUUUUCACCCUUAGGAUUUAAUAUGAUACAUAUUUCAUCCCUAUAUUUUAAAUAAUAGUGUAAAGUAUUGUUCCGUUAAUUUGCCAUUAGUUUAUUAUAAUUUUUUUGCAAGCUCCAUUUGCAUACUUGGUAGUUUGCAUACAAUUUUUGACAAUUUAAUUUUUAAAAAUUAAAAAUUAAUAUAAAUUUUUUAUUUUUAUUUUUAGGGCUAAAUUAGUAAUUUAAUUAUUUUCUUUUUAUUAAUGUCCAAGCAAAAAAAUUAUUAUAAAAGGACAAUAUUGUUAAAGUAAGACAAAAGAAAUAAAAAGUAACAGUGUGAAUAUCAAUACUUUAAGGGUAAAGAUUUUAAAAAAUAUAAGGAUUAAAUAAAUAUUAAUCUUAAAAUAUAGAGACUAAAUGAUCUUUUAUCUUUUACACAACCGUAUACAAUAUUUGUUCUCAGUCGGCUCGUCCUCUUGAUGAAGAUCCUAAACAGCUGUAUGACAAGUAAAAGCAAGUACUUCAAGAUUAUAUGCCAUGAAAGGCAUUGCCAUACUUGAGAGAGAAGCACGAUGAGUAUCAUUUGUUGAGGGAGCUUUUGAAAAAUUGGGCUAAUCAUGAAUUUUUGGUUAAAUGGCUUUCACGCGUCUUCCUUCCUCUUCAAUUCGGUUAUAUUCCUCGAAGGAAACUUUCUGAACUUAAUGCGAUUGUAAAGGAAAUAAAUCAUGAAAUUACGAAAAUAUUGUUAAUUGUUAUUAUAUCAUUGAGUAAUAAUAAGAAUCUUAAUAUUCAAAUUUUAAUUUGAGUUCUAAGGUUCAUUUUAAAUUAUUUUAUCAGGUUUACAAAUAAUUUUAAAAAUUUAAAAAUUAAUUUUAAUAUUUAAUAAAAAAUUAAAAUUAUUUUUUAUCAAAAUCAGCCCAGAUACUUUUAAAUUUAAAUUUAGAGAAUUAAUUUUAUAUUUUAAUACAAUAUUAAUUGUAUCCUCUACCAUUGUACUUUAGUUAAAAUAAUGUAUUUCGUAUUGCACCCAAUGACCAUGUCAUAAUUGUUGACAUACUUUUUUUUUUAAAAAUAAACCAAACCAUAAUUUUUUUUUCAUAUGUAUUACCCCACACCCCUAUGAAUUAAGAGAGAGAGAAAUGAAGAGAGAGAAAGAAAGAGGGAAAGAGAUGGGAGUGAUCCGACCCGAACCUGCGCGAUCCGACCCGAAUUUAUCUCCAUUUUCCGGCCACCUUACCGACCAAGGAAGGUGCCAGUAGAAAGCUUGAGAACUGACCGUCAUUUCCAUUCCGUCAUUGCCGUCGAUUAUUGGCCGGAAAGCCGCUUAUUGAAGCCGC